Ribosomal RNA from Oncorhynchus mykiss (rainbow trout), 119 nucleotides. Lineage: Eukaryota; Metazoa; Chordata; Actinopteri; Salmoniformes; Salmonidae. The record is from Ensembl.
GCUUACGGCCACACCGGCCUGAGUACGCCUGAUCUCGUCCGAUCUCGGAAGCUAAGCAGGGUCGGGCCUGGUUAGUUCUUGGAUGGGAGACCGCCUGGGAAUACCAGGUGCUGUAAGCU